RNAcentral lists this ribosomal RNA (589 nucleotides) under uncultured archaeon. RNAcentral describes it as "bacterial SSU rRNA". It matches the Rfam family "Archaeal small subunit ribosomal RNA", at positions 1 to 595 of the family's 1478-position model. The record is from RNAcentral.
AUUUCCGGUUGAUCCCGUCGGACCUGACUGCUAUCGGAUUGAUACUAAGCCAUGCGAGUCAUUGCAGCAAUGCAAGGCAGACGGCUCAGUAACGCGUAGUCAACCUAACCUAUGGACGGGAAUAACCUCGGGAAACUGAGUAUAAUGCCCGAUAGAACACUAUACCUGGAAUGGUUUGUGUUCCAAAUGAUUUAUCGCCGUAGGAUGGGACUGCGGCCUAUCAGUUUGUUGGUGAGGUAAUGGCCCACCAAGACUAUUACAGGUACGGGCUCUGAGAGGAGUAGCCCGGAGAUGGGUACUGAGACACGGACCCAGGCCCUAUGGGGCGCAGCAGGCGAGAAAACUUUGCAAUGUGCGAAAGCACGACAAGGUUAAUCCGAGUGGUUUCUGCUAAAGGAACCUUUUGUUAGUCCUAGAAACACUAACGAAUAAGGGGUGGGCAAGUUCUGGUGUCAGCCGCCGCGGUAAAACCAGCACCUCAAGUGGUCAGGAUGAUUAUUGGGCCUAAAGCAUCCGUAGCCGGCUCUGUAAGUUUUCGGUUAAAUCUGUACGCUCAACGUACGGGCUGCCGGGAAUACUGCAGAGCUAG